AUCUAGCUGACGAGUCCUAAACAGGAUGGAACGGGCGUCCUAGAU
RNAcentral lists this non-coding RNA (45 nucleotides) under Schistosoma curassoni. The record is from RNAcentral. Lineage: Eukaryota; Metazoa; Platyhelminthes; Trematoda; Strigeidida; Schistosomatidae.